AGUGAACGCUGGCGGCGUGCCUAAUACAUGCAAGUCGAACGAAGUGGCGCACGGGUGAGUAAUAUAUAGUUAAUCUGCCCUACACAGAGGAACAACAGUUGGAAACGACUGCUAAUACAUCAUAGUGUAGGAUGAGACUAUAUCGUAUCAGCUAGUUGGUAAGGUAAUGGCUUACCAAGGCGAUGACGCGUAACUGGUCUGAGAGGAUGAUCAGUCACAUUGGAACUGAGACACGGUCCAAACUCCUACGGGAGGCAGCAGUAAUGAAUAUUGCGCAAUGGGGGAAACCCUGACGCAGCAACGCCGCGUGGAGGAAGACGGUCUUCGGAUUGUAAACUUCUUUAGACAGGGACGCGGUACCUGUAGAAUAAGCCACGGCUAACUACGUGCCAGCAGCCGCGGUAAUAC
This 408-nucleotide ribosomal RNA is filed under the name uncultured bacterium. Its description in RNAcentral is "partial 16S ribosomal RNA". It matches the Rfam family "Bacterial small subunit ribosomal RNA", at positions 29 to 526 of the family's 1533-position model. The record is from RNAcentral.